AACGAGAAUUUUGACACUAAUUUCAAAAAAUUUAGCUCAAAAUUAGAUCGAACGGGUCAAACCGAUUGAACCGGGACCGUAGGCCCAACUGCCCAGCACUUAAAUGAGCCAAUGACUCUUCUUCCUCCUCACUUCAGAACGCGCUGAAGGCAAUAAGCAGGGGAGAAGGAGAAAAGAAACUUCCUAACCCUUACGGUAAUUCAAAUCACCGUAACUUCUCCGUCUAAACUCCGAUUGCUACACCAUUUGCGGCCACGCGAUCAUCGCGUCGAGCUCUACGAUUCUCCAAGAAUAAUUUCAAAAGAUCCAAUUAGCUUGAGAAAAACGUUCACUCUUGCUUAUAUGAAGCUUGGGUAAGGUUGUGAAUAAAUAAUUGGAGCUUGAAAUUGUGGAUAUCAGAACUUGGAGGAAGCUGUUUUAUUGAACUUUUGGGGCUGUGUUUAUUUUAGUAAAUUGCCUUGAACAAUACGCGGAAAAUCGGCUAAGAUGCAGGUCGAGAGGCACCUCCUUAGGCGUCUGAGCUCUUGAAGAGAAGUGGUUAUCGGGUUACUUUUUUGGAUUGUAUAGUCAUAUAUGUGUGUGUACCUAGUAUUCUCUCUGCAUGAUUUGUUCCUUUCGAUCCUCUUAAAGGCUUAUGGAGAGACAGGAUUUUGUUUAUGUAAAUUUGGGUUUGGAUAUGUAUAUAUAUGUGUAUAUAUUCUCCGGCCAGUCUUGACUUCGCGGGCUGAGUUAGGAGCUUGUUAUUUUGUAUCUUUGGCCCUCCAUUCCUACUUUUGUUAUC
Molecule: non-coding RNA, 781 nt
Organism: Arachis ipaensis
Lineage: Eukaryota; Viridiplantae; Streptophyta; Magnoliopsida; Fabales; Fabaceae
Source: RefSeq, a predicted model, not a curated record